RNAcentral lists this ribosomal RNA (253 nucleotides) under uncultured bacterium. RNAcentral's name for it is "partial 16S ribosomal RNA". It matches the Rfam family "Bacterial small subunit ribosomal RNA", at positions 524 to 776 of the family's 1533-position model. The record is from RNAcentral.
UACGUAGGGUGCAAGCGUUGUCCGGAAUUAUUGGGCGUAAAGAGCUCGUAGGCGGUUUGUUGCGUCGGCUGUGAAAUCCCGAGGCUCAACCUCGGGUCUGCAGUCGAUACGAGCAAACUAGAGUGUUGCAGGGGAGACUGGAAUUCCUGGUGUAGCGGUGAAAUGCGCAGAUAUCAGGAGGAACACCAGUAGCGAAGGCGACACUCUGGGCCGGUACUGACGCUGAGGAGCGAAAGCGUGGGGAGCAAACAGG